UACGUAGGUGGCAAGCGUUGUCCGGAAUUAUUGGGUGUAAAGCGCGCGCAGGCGGCCUCUUAAGUCUGAUGUGAAAGCCCCCGGCUCAACCGGGGGAGGGCCAUUGGAAACUGGGAGGCUUGAGUAUAGGAGAGAAGAGUGGGAUUCCACGUGUAGCGGUGAAAUGCGUAGAGAUGUGGAGGAACACCAGUGGCGAAGGCGACUCUUUGGCCUAUAACUGACGCUGAGGCGCGAAAGCGUGGGGAGCAAACAGG
This 254-nucleotide ribosomal RNA is filed under the name uncultured bacterium. Its description in RNAcentral is "partial 16S ribosomal RNA". It matches the Rfam family "Bacterial small subunit ribosomal RNA", at positions 524 to 776 of the family's 1533-position model. The record is from RNAcentral.